Molecule: small RNA, 240 nt
Filed under: Arabidopsis thaliana (thale cress)
Lineage: Eukaryota; Viridiplantae; Streptophyta; Magnoliopsida; Brassicales; Brassicaceae
Description: ATSL055410
Source: RNAcentral
AUGUUUUAUCUUAUAUGGAUCUUAACUCCUGAAAUUUUUUCUGAGAAUCUUGACAAAGAGAAGUACAAGCAAGUAGAUCAUUCGAAGUCAUCUUUAUUUUUUCUUAAACCCUACCAAACCCAAAACUCAGUUUCUGAUUUUCAUAUGUUUUGACUUUAUCCUAAUCCAUGUGGCGUGGAAUGGACCUAAAAGCACACCAAACUAAUUCGUAUGUAUGCUAUAGAAAAGUAAUUUACCAUA